AUGCAAGUCGAGCGGACAGAUGGGAGCUUGCUCCCUGAUGUUAGCGGCGGACGCGUGAGUAACACGUGGGUAACCUGCCUGUAAGACUGGGAUAACUCCGCGAAACCGGCGCUAAUACCGGAUGCUUGAUUGAACCGCAUGGUUCAAUUAUAAAAGGUGGCUUUUAGCUACCACUUACAGAUGGACCCGCGGCGCAUUAGCUAGUUGGUGAGGUAACGGCUCACCAAGGCAACGAUGCGUAGCCGACCUGAGAGGGUGAUCGGCCACACUGGGACUGAGACACGGCCCAGACUCCUACGGGAGGCAGCAGUAGGGAAUCUUCCGCAAUGGACGAAAGUCUGACGGAGCAACGCCGCGUGAGUGAUGAAGGUUUUCGGAUCGUAAAACUCUGUUGUUAGGGAAGAACAAGUACCGUUCGAAUAGGGCGGUACCUUGACGGUACCUAACCAGAAAGCCACGGCUAACUACGUGCCAGCAGCCGCGGUAAUACGUAGGUGGCAAGCGUUGUCCGGAAUUAUUGGGCGUAAAGCGCGCGCAGGCGGUUUCUUAAGUCUGAUGUGAAAGCCCCCGGCUCAACCGGGGAGGGUCAUUGGAAACUGGGGAACUUGAGUGCAGAAGAGGAGAGUGGAAUUCCACGUGUAGCGGUGAAAUGCGUAGAGAUGUGGAGGAACACCAGUGGCGAAGGCGACUCUCUGGUCUGUAACUGACGCUGAGGCGCGAAAGCGUGGGGAGCGAACAGGAUUAGAUACCCUGGUAGUCCACGCCGUAAACGAUGAGUGCUAAGUGUUAGAGGGUUUCCGCCCUUUAGUGCUGCAGCAAACGCAUUAAGCACUCCGCCUGGGAGACGCCAGUCCC
Molecule: ribosomal RNA, 855 nt
Filed under: Bacillus sp. (in: firmicutes)
Lineage: Bacteria; Bacillati; Bacillota; Bacilli; Caryophanales; Bacillaceae
Description: bacterial SSU rRNA
Rfam family: Bacterial small subunit ribosomal RNA
Source: RNAcentral